Molecule: long non-coding RNA, 542 nt
Organism: Salvia hispanica
Lineage: Eukaryota; Viridiplantae; Streptophyta; Magnoliopsida; Lamiales; Lamiaceae
Source: RefSeq, a predicted model, not a curated record
UACAAAUAAAUAGCCAAAGAAUAUAAUUUUAGAGCCUAUAAUUUAAUAAUCUUCUAGCCCAAUAUCCGAUAUGGUUUAACUCAAUUAUACUCAAAUCUUUUGUCCAAAUCUCUUCCCUGAGAAUUAGGAGGAUUUAACCAUGUAUAUAUAGAUGCAUCCCCACGAUUUCACUUUUCAUUCACAUUUAAAUCUGAGAGAGAGAAAACAGAAGAGCAGGGAGAAAGCUGUGGGCAGAGACCAAGAUUUUUCGCUGCUUUGCAGGGUUUUCUUUCGCAAGCGAGCUAAGGCGGAGUGAGAAUUUUCAAGUUAAGAAUUUGUAAGAGAACGAGGUUGAGCUGUGACGAGCGCGGUGGGUGUUGAGCAAGGUUGUUGAAGAAAUUUCAUGUUCAGAAUGUGUCAUGUCUUCACACGUGGCAUAUUCCUUCUCUCGAAUGCUUCCGCUGAGUAGUUGUCUUCCUUUUGAGUUCUUGUAUUGCGGAGAUAAUAUUCUUUUGAGUUGUUGACUAUUGAGAUACUCUAAUUUUAUUCGAGCUAUCCCCAUU